AUUGAACGCUGGCGGCAGGCUUAACACAUGCAAGUCGAGCGAGCGGCGGCCGGGUGAGUAAUGUCUGGGACACUGCCUGAUGGAGGGGGAUAACUACGGGAAACUGUAGCUAAUACCGCGUACUAUAGGAUGAGCCCAAGUGGGAUUAGGUAUUUGGUGGGGUAAAGGCUCACCAAGCCGACGAUCUCUAGCUGGUCUGAGAGGAUGACCAGCCACACUGGGACUGAGACACGGCCCAGACUCCUACGGGAGGCAGCAGUGGGGAAUAUUGCACAAUGGGGGAAACCCUGAUGCAGCCAUGCCGCGUGUAUGAAGAAGGCCUUCGGGUUGUAAAGUACUUUCAGCGAGGAGGCGUUACUCGCAGAAGAAGCACCGGCUAACUCCGUGCCAGCCGCCGCGGUAAUAC
This 406-nucleotide ribosomal RNA is filed under the name uncultured bacterium. Its description in RNAcentral is "partial 16S ribosomal RNA". It matches the Rfam family "Bacterial small subunit ribosomal RNA", at positions 30 to 526 of the family's 1533-position model. The record is from RNAcentral.